This 472-nucleotide ribosomal RNA is filed under the name uncultured bacterium. RNAcentral describes it as "bacterial SSU rRNA". It matches the Rfam family "Bacterial small subunit ribosomal RNA", at positions 38 to 507 of the family's 1533-position model. The record is from RNAcentral.
GGCGGCAUGCUUUACACAUGCAAGUCGAACGGUAACAGGCUUCGGAUGCUGACGAGUGGCGAACGGGUGAGUAAUGUAUCGGAACGUGCCCAGUAGUGGGGGAUAACUACUCGAAAGAGUGGCUAAUACCGCAUGAGAACUGAGGUUGAAAGUGGGGGAUCUUCGGACCUCACGCUAUCAGAUGAGCCUAGGUCGGAUUAGCUAGUUGGUGAGGUAAAGGCUCACCAAGGCGACGAUCCGUAACUGGGUCUGAGAGGAUGAUCAGUCACACUGGAACUGAGACACGGUCCAGACUCCUACGGGAGGCAGCAGUGGGGAAUAUUGGACAAUGGGCGCAAGCCUGAUCCAGCCAUGCCGCGUGUGUGAAGAAGGCCUUCGGGUUGUAAAGCUCUUUCGCAAGGGAAGAAAACUUAGGCUCUAACAUAGCCUGAGGUUGACGGUACCUUGAUAAGAAGCACCGGCUAACUACGUG